RNAcentral lists this ribosomal RNA (401 nucleotides) under uncultured Hypotrichia. Its description in RNAcentral is "partial small subunit ribosomal RNA". It matches the Rfam family "Eukaryotic small subunit ribosomal RNA", at positions 30 to 432 of the family's 1831-position model. Lineage: Eukaryota; Ciliophora; Spirotrichea. The record is from RNAcentral.
GCUUGUCUCAAAGAUUAAGCCAUGCAUGUCUAAGUAUAAACUAUUUUAUACUGUGAAACUGCGAAUGGCUCAUUAAAUCAGUUAUAGUUUAUUUGAUAAUCGAAUCUACAUGGAUAACCGUGGUAAUUCUAGAGCUAAUACAUGCUGGUUAGCCUGACUUCGCGGAAGGGCUGUAUUUAUUAGAUAACAAACCAAUAUUCCUUGUGUCUAUUGUGAUGACUCAUAAUAACUGAUCGAAUCGCAUGGACCUUGUCCGCGAUACAUCAUUCAAGUUUCUGCCCCAUCAGCUUUCGAUGGUAGUGUAUUGGACUACCAUGGCUUUAACGGGUAACGGAGGAUUAGGGUUCGAUUCCGGAGAGGGAGCCUGAGAAACGGCUACCACAUCUAAGGAAGGCAGCAGG